UACGUAGGAGGCGAGCGUUGUCCGGAUUCACUGGGCGUAAAGGGCGCGUAGGCGGCGGCUUGAGUCCCUGCGUGAAAUCUCCCGGCUCAACCGGGAGGGUGCGCGGGAUACUGGGCGGCUUGAGGACAUCAGAGGAGAGCGGAAUCCCCGGUGUAGUGGUGAAAUGCGUAGAUAUCUGGAGGAAUACCGGUGGCGAAGGCGGCAUCCUGGACCGGCAUUGACGCUGAUGAGCGAAAGCUAGGGGAGCAAACGGG
RNAcentral lists this ribosomal RNA (254 nucleotides) under uncultured bacterium. RNAcentral describes it as "partial 16S ribosomal RNA". It matches the Rfam family "Bacterial small subunit ribosomal RNA", at positions 524 to 776 of the family's 1533-position model. The record is from RNAcentral.